This 3477-nucleotide long non-coding RNA is filed under the name Oryzias javanicus (javanese ricefish). Its description in RNAcentral is "lncRNA (ENSOJAG00000015101.1)". The record is from RNAcentral. Lineage: Eukaryota; Metazoa; Chordata; Actinopteri; Beloniformes; Adrianichthyidae.
GAAGAAACGAUCUUUGAUUCCGUCCUUAUACAGUCAAUGGGCGGGAUCAGGACGGUUUGGCCCACACCGCUCUCCGUAGAUCUGGGCCUGGGCGUAGUUCGUAUCUUCUGCUCCUGCUGCGUAGGAGUCAAACCCUCACAACACUUCAACAGCACGACUCGUAGGCGUUUCGUUAUAUAACUAGAAUCUAAUAUAAAACCAAAAUCAUGUGUUCUGUUACUUUAGAAAACAAUGGUUCUCCGAAAAAACGGAUGCUGUCCCGGGGAAUGAGUGAAGAUGAGUCACUCCGUAGCAUUAUAAACGAGAGCGAGACUCCAUCCAGGCGGCUGACUCGAAGCGACAGCCGGGGAGGCACCCUGAGGAGGAGGACCGACACCCAGCAGUCGGACCAGGAUCUCCUCAUGGGACUGCCUGAAAUGCUGGAACUGCAGGCCAGCUAUGACGAGGCAGUACAGGAGCUGCGGGGGCUGGAGGUGGAGCGAGAGGCCCUGUUGUUUCAGGUGGAUGUCCUGCAGGACACGCUGGAGGGUGUGGAAGAACUUCUGGCCGAAGCCCAGAGAGAAGCCGGACAGGCCAGCUUGAAGCUGGAACAAGAAAGAGAAGCCAACAGGAAACUGGAGAGGCUGCUUUGUUCUCUGAAGCAGGAGGUGGAGAGAUUAAACGAGGAAAGAAAGAGCCAAACUGCUCCAGUGAACGUAAUCAAACCAUCUGAACAGGAAUGCCAAACAAAUAACAACACGAUGAAUCAAAAUGCAAAGGAUCAUUUGCUGUGUGAAGCCUGCAGCGUCAAAAUCAGGAGUGGAGUUCUGGAAAACUCAGAGGAACUGGGAGAAGAAGUUCCAGGAAGUUGUGGAGCGGCUCAGGUGAAGCUGCAGAGGUUGGCCAGCCAACCCUUCACUCCCUCUCUUGCUCUGGUCAACCUGCACUCGGUGGACGGCGUCCUUCAGCGGCAAAUACGCAGGAACUCGGGCGAUAGAAUCCUUCCUGAACAGAGGUUUAAUGAACUCUGACAGCAUCAGUGCCUAUGAGGACGCGUCUGCUGACACUCCGGAGCACGAGAGGGCGUUAGCUGCCGGCAGCGAGCUGUUCAACGAUUUAGAGGACACAAAGACAAAAGCAACGAACGAAGAUCUGGAUGAAAGCAGCGAAACCGAAGAUCCUAGAAGCCCAGAGAGCUGCAUUUUGUCUUAAUUCCAUCUUCUGUUCACCCAAAACGAGUCAUGACAGUUUGGUGACAUUUGAUCUGUCUUACAGCCAGUUUGUUAUAAUUUUAUAAAACUGUAGUUGUAGAUUUAAUUACCUUUAAAACAAUAUUGCCAAACAUUUCCUUCUUUGGGGGCUCUAAUACCUACAUCUUGAGUGAAAAAAAAAAAAUAUAUUUUCAACGCCAUUUGGUUUUGUAACAAAAUCAUCAACAGAUUAAUUGGACUAUUUUUACAAUCUGUAAAAGAUCCCACUCUAAAGUUUUUACGUUUUGUUGUUUAAAAUUAACUGCCUCCUCUAAUGUCAGCUGCCAAGUAUUCCGUCUAAGCCUGCCUUAAUUUUGUGUGUGGAUAAAUAUCGAGAUGUUUUUCUAUUAUCAGGUGUUUUGGGUUGUCUAACACCUUUCUGUGUGCACAUCAGGAUUUAUAUAUGUCCAAAAUACAGUGAGUUAUGUCCUUACUUUUUUUGUUCUUUUGGAUCCAAAACAAAAAUCUUGUUUGAAAAUCUAGUUUACUUGAAGCAGAUUUUUUCUAUUUUACACUGAUCUUUGCAAGGCAUGAGAAAACACAAUCCCCUAAAGCAAAUAUCUUAUUUUUAUACAGUCCUUUUUGCGUUUUUGCUCUGAAACUAUAACGCAUUUGCACUUUUUUUUAUCGUGUAAACGGUGGCCUAAAUGUUUCUCAUUUGGCCACUACAUUCCUUUUCAGAACCAAACGCUCGAGUUAGCUCAUUUGCUGCGGAGUGAUUCUGUCUGUUUGCACAUUUUUUAGUCAAACUUGCUGAAAUCUUAGUGUUUUUCAAUGUCUGACUGCUGUUAACACUUUAUAACUGAUCACUUUUUAAAAAAAAUGUUUUGAAACAAUUCACCUUAUAUUUGAUCAUUUGCAUGAGUACGUAUAAUGUUUAAGAGACUACAAAAGAGUUAAUCUGCAUCAUGCAUACCAUAUCGAUACUUUUGCACGCAAUAUAUUUAUUGGUUAAGUAAAACCUUAAGUCACUUACUGCAUAAAUAGAUAAUUUUGAAGAUACAGUUACAGUUUCAAACUUUUUCACUGGUAAAAUUCUAAGAAAUAACAUUUGUAACCCAUCAAGAUAAACGCUUGUUUUCAUAAAUGCUUCAGUGGACUCAUAUAUGGAACCAGUUCAGUUUAUUCUAAUAUCACGCUGUUAAAAUUGCAUAAAAAUGUUUGUCCACAACCCCUUUUUUUCCAGUUUCAUGAAUAACUUCUGUGUUUGCUAACGAGAUGUUAGAAAGUUCCUCAUGUGUUUGCAAGUAGAACUAACGCUGUUGUGUUGGAUUUUUUUGCUCUAAUGUCCUGUUUUCCUUCAACGGGCCAAAGGGAUUUCAUCUGUUUAUGUUUAAAUGUUUCAGUCGGACUUUUUAAAGAAUUGAUUGUGUAAUCAUAUUGUUUUAACAUGCAAAAAAAAAAAAAAAUGUUUUUAUUGCAUCUGUUUUUGACAGUUGUGUUUUUUUUUUCCCACUUUCUUUGAGAUGCUGUAAAAGUGGAUGAUUCAUAUCAACAUAAAAGGAGCUUUUAGUGCUGCCAUGGGUUGUUUUGUCAUUUUUACAUGUUCAGAAAUAAACCCUCAGUGGCAGCUUUAUGCGGUUUGACUUUCAAAAUAAGAGCAAGGAAGCAGUGGCUGCUGUGCUGAUUAUGAGCAUCUAAAGUUCAGAAAAAACAGAUCAAAUCUGACAAAUCAAUGAUAAAAAUUAAGAAAUAAUUAAAGGUUUCAACAGUUGAAGAAAAAUAAAUUUUCCCCAAAUCUUUGUGCUUCAAAAUACUUUUUUUGCGACAUGCUUUUGCUUAGUUUGUCCAGCAGAUGGCAAAGUAGUCCUCUGUUUAUGCCUCUAUUAUACUAAAUAGAACCAAAAAUAUUCAAUAUUCUAUGGCAUAAUAAAGUUGAACAUAUACAUUUCCUCUGAAUCUUCGAUAACCAUCCAAUAACUAAAUCGAUUUUUGCUAUCUUUACUUAUUUAUUUUAGAGAAGCAGUUAUUUGUAAUGAAGACACCCCAGCAUAUUAAGUGAUAAAACUGUGACUAAUGGCACAUCAAAACAACCCUUUUUCCUUCUUUAGUUUGAGUUGUUUCCACUGUGGCAGGCUCACAAAGUCAUCUUUGCUGAUCCCAAACACGUCAAUGAAGUCUCCAUCAGAGAGGUAUUUCUAAGAAAAAAAAGCAGGCCAUAAAGUUAAGUUUAAUUCAUUUUUCUCUUUGUGUUUUUAUGCAGGAGUUUAAGAUUAACUUUACCAAUUUGUUAAAUAAAAAUGAAUAA